RNAcentral lists this long non-coding RNA (1063 nucleotides) under Cyanistes caeruleus (blue tit). Its description in RNAcentral is "lncRNA (ENSCCEG00000004700.1)". The record is from RNAcentral. Lineage: Eukaryota; Metazoa; Chordata; Aves; Passeriformes; Paridae.
AGCCCUCCCGGGCACUUUGUCCCUCUCCUGGGCGUUUUGCCCCUCUCCAGGACGUUUUCUUCCCCCUGCCGGACCCGAAGCGAGGCCUAGGUACGCUCCCCCAUAUAUAUAAAAAACACCAAGGCCUCCAGGACUCAUUUUCUUUUGGUUCCAUCCACCCCCGUAAUUCCCUCCCGCGCAGUGAAGCCUUAUGGAAUUCCCGCCUCACCUCAAAAUAAAAAAGCCCCCAAAACCAGGGAUGUCUUUUAACACCCCCUCCUUCCCCAGGCCCUCCGGAGUGUCUUUACUCCCUCCUCGGCGCUGCAGGGUUUCAGGAGCUCAUUUCCUUCCCUGUCGCUGCUCCUUGCACAAGUCAGGCCUCGGGGUGCUCAUCUGCCCUCACCCCCAAAAACAGUGAGGCCUCGUGGAUCCCACCUUUUCCUUUCCUCCCACCCGCCAAUGGAGGCCUUGGGGGUCUCCUCAUCCCCUUUUCUCCUCAGGAAUGGGGCACUGAGGCUCAUCCUUUCUCUCUCCCCACACGUCCAGCCGGGGCCUGCAGCCCCUCUUCUCCCAGCCCUUCCCCCAAAAACGAGGCCUCCCGGAGCUCUUUAUUCUCCCCACACCCAGCCGUGAGAUUUUAUCCCUCCCACCUUGCAAACUUCCCGGACUCCCUUAGGGUCCCCCACCCCUUUGCUGAUGCCUCCCCUCUGUUCUCUCCCCCAUCCCACAUGGAUCCAUGCUCUGGGACGCUUUCCCCUUGUCCUGGUUCUGCUCUGGGCAUCCACCUCUCCCUCCUGAGCCCUUCCCUGCGAUUCCUUUUCUCCUACAAACACCUUUGUGUCCCUUCCAUGUCCUUCCUUCCCUGUUCCUGCACCCUCCUCUCUGUCUCCCGAGUGCCAGGUGCUGCAGGCUCUGGGCUCUGCUGUUCCCAGCUGCUCCAUUUUCCUGCUCUCUUAACUCCUCUAAUCCCAUUAUUCCCACAGUUUCUCCCUUUUGUGGCUCCUGUUUUGUCCUGGCCCACUCAAGUCUCAAUGACCCUCCUGGGUUUUGUUUGUUGAUUUUUUUCUGUCAUUCUCGUUUUUGC